AAACUCAUGAGAUUAUCCACGCACAUCCGGAUAUUGUCUGGCCGAUUCUGUAGGAGCUGUUUCGUCACGCGGUGAGCGCAAUGGUUCUUCCCGGAAAAUUUCGAUGCUCCCUUUUUGGCGGCCAUUAUUCAGGUUCUGUAUAACACAAUUGGAUCCUCAUACGCUCGAGAUUAUUAAUACUUCAAACGAGCAACUAUAGGAAGACAAGGAGUCACGUUGAAGGUUUUGGAGGUUAAAUGGCGACAAUUGUCGAACGCGGGCACACGGAUUAUAAAACCAAAAAGAAAUUCAAGAUGGAGCCCAGGGCACAGGAUAAAUCUGUAAAAAGUCUCACCCUACGUCCCACGACAAAAACCAAGCUAUCCGUCUUUUGUCCGCGAAAACAAGCAGAGACGAUAGACAGAGCCUUCGGGAUAAGAAGAAAAUGACGAGGAAAGAGUGGUGAUUAAUUAUCCCACGGGAAGGGAUCCUUUAAGUAGAGGAUCCCAUCGAUUUUCCUUGAAUUAAUAGAGAAUUAUGGUAAAGCGAAAUACGGAGGGAAAAACAAAUUACAAAGAGGAAGGAUAAGUAUCCGGACCGCUUUGCGUACCUCAUAGGCCCCAAUACAACGGAAGGAGUGGGUGGAGAGAGGGGGAUUGUGAGGCAGACUGGAAGAUGUUACGACGCUGUAAUCCGUAUAGAAGGGG
Molecule: long non-coding RNA, 686 nt
Organism: Cephus cinctus (wheat stem sawfly)
Lineage: Eukaryota; Metazoa; Arthropoda; Insecta; Hymenoptera; Cephidae
Exons: 3
Source: RefSeq, a predicted model, not a curated record